RNAcentral lists this long non-coding RNA (208 nucleotides) under Mytilus galloprovincialis (Mediterranean mussel). The record is from RNAcentral. Lineage: Eukaryota; Metazoa; Mollusca; Bivalvia; Mytilida; Mytilidae.
AAGAUAAAUAUAGAUUCUACCACUGCAUCGAGUGUGAUACGAUAUUUAUCCACUCGAGACAGUUAAAUUUUCAAAUUUAAAACGCGAGGCUCGCCGAGGGUUUUAAAUAUUUAAAAUUUAACUGUCGAGAGUGGAUAAAUAUCGUAUUACACGAGAUUUGGUGGUAGAAUCUGUUUCUAUAAUGAUUUUCAAACAAUAUGCAGGCAAA